GGCAGACACAGACAGCCACAGGCUCUCCCUUUUUUCCUCUUGUCAAACAGAAUGAGAGCAUUGUCUGCCAAGCAGGCUGCUAUGCUGAUUUGGACUGUAAAGCCGAGGCCAGGGUGUGGUGGGUUUUUUAUGUAUCUAAAAAAAGUGUGUGUUUUGAGAGGGGGAGAGAGGGAAAGAUUAGUGAGGGAAGUAGUGUUGUGUGUCUGUGAAUGAUUUAUGAGAUGUGGGUUGCAGCUAAUGCUGGUUGGAUGAGCGAGGCACAUGGGCUGUUCUUACUCAUUCACUUCUUCAUAAACUAAACCAAAGCUCAGCUCUGCUUGUUUCCUCUUUGUACUCUCUUUCUUUCCAUGCAGGCUCUUUGUCUUACCUCAUUUAUUUUCUUCUUCAACCUAUUUCUACUAACUGCCUUCACCUUUCCUUCUGUUGUCGAGUUACAUUUGCCAAAAUCUCUCCUGAGAAUUGGACCUAGUCUCGCCUAUUGUUACGUUGUGCAGUGAAACUGAAUGACCCUACUCUACUGGUUUCUUGCAAGUUGGGACCCAGGAUGCAGGAAGCAUUAGGCAGUAAUGUCAAACAUCGCUGAAAGAAAGAUGUGUUGGUAUAUCAGAGAAUUUCCAAUAUAAUUCUUGUCAUUUCUUGAAUACCUUGCUACCAUGGUGUUUGGUAUCCCAUCAAAACCAUAGACGUUGGAACCAGUUACAAAUCAUUUUAAAACCACUGAACAUUUUAAUGUAUUCAUGUUGCUUAGAUCUACAAUUACAUUUAAUUAGGCAAAAAACAGUUAUUGGAGUGGAGUUCCCCUUUAAAGUAUCAGUACAAUAGGAGUCUUUGCAGCUAGCAAAAAGUUGACUGCAUAAAUGCUUACCCCAAAUGUUGUAAUCAAGCCUGUGAGUUCCCAGAUAAUGGGAAAUACAUAUCAAAGGGUGAAAUUCAACUGGAACUAAGGUUAUGGAGCCCGUAACACCAAGACCCUUUACUUACUUUUCAUUUUGCAGUUGUCAGUAGUAAAUUAAUGUUAUCAUCAGAAUCAUGAAUUAUUAUAUAUAUAUAAAGCAGGAGCUGCAGGAGGCCCCAUUCUAAAUUGGCUGAACUGAUGAUGACUGUAGAUAAUGAAAGUGUGUUAUUACAUAUUUACAACUGAAAGGAAACUUAACAGCAAUCUAUGCCACAGAGCUUGCCAUUCACAGAGCUUCUAAUCAACAGGAAACCGAAAGCUUAUAUGCAUUUUUGAAAAUGCCUAAAAGGAAACUGUCGCUCAGAACUUAAAUAGCACACUUGUUGCAUAGCUUGCAUCUUCUAAAAAACACAACCCUGACAGCCUAGAACAAAUCAAAAUAAAAUUGAUAAAAAAAAAUAACUAGCAUAAAGAUACGCUUCCUAUUGGCAUGUGACCCAUCGUUGAACAUACACCAUUUCCAUGCAUGAGUGUAUUGAUCAAGGAGGAAAAUACUGGCCCUGCCCUUGGGGGAGCUUGCAGGUAUCAACCAUCGAACAUACACACUAUGAUCAGUUUCAUUAGAUGCCAUUUAACCUUCCUGCAGGUUUCUGGAGACUGGAAGGAACCAGGAGCACCUGUAGGAAGUCCUAUAGAAAUC
Xenopus laevis (African clawed frog) is the source of this 1595-nucleotide long non-coding RNA. RefSeq lists it as uncharacterized. The record is from RefSeq and is a predicted model, not a curated record. The transcript is spliced from 2 exons. NCBI's taxonomy places the organism in Eukaryota, Metazoa, Chordata, Amphibia, Anura, Pipidae.